This 465-nucleotide ribosomal RNA is filed under the name Vreelandella stevensii. RNAcentral describes it as "partial 16S ribosomal RNA". It matches the Rfam family "Bacterial small subunit ribosomal RNA", at positions 338 to 795 of the family's 1533-position model. Lineage: Bacteria; Pseudomonadati; Pseudomonadota; Gammaproteobacteria; Oceanospirillales; Halomonadaceae. The record is from RNAcentral.
CCUACGGGAGGCUGCAGUGGGGAAUAUUGGACAAUGGGCGAAAGCCUGAUCCAGCCAUGCCGCGUGUGUGAAGAAGGCCUUCGGGUUGUAAAGCACUUUCAGUGGGGAAGAAAGCCUUGGGGCUAAUACCCUCGAGGAAGGACAUCACCCACAGAAGAAGCACCGGCUAACUCCGUGCCAGCAGCCGCGGUAAUACGGAGGGUGCGAGCGUUAAUCGGAAUUACUGGGCGUAAAGCGCGCGUAGGCGGUCUGAUAAGCCGGUUGUGAAAGCCCCGGGCUCAACCUGGGAACGGCAUCCGGAACUGUCAGGCUAGAGUGCAGGAGAGGAAGGUAGAAUUCCCGGGGUAGCGGUGAAAUGCGUAGAGAUCGGGAGGAAUACCAGUGGCGAAGGCGGCCUUCUGGACUGACACUGACGCUGAGGUGCGAAAGCGUGGGUAGCAAACAGGAUUAGAUACCCCUGUAGUC